Molecule: ribosomal RNA, 478 nt
Filed under: uncultured bacterium
Lineage: Bacteria
Description: partial 16S ribosomal RNA
Rfam family: Bacterial small subunit ribosomal RNA
Source: RNAcentral
GACGAACGCUGGCGGCGUGCUUAACACAUGCAAGUCGAACGGUAAGGCCCUUCGGGGUACACGAGUGGCGAACGGGUGAGUAACACGUGGGUGAUCUGCCCUGCACUUCGGGAUAAGCCUGGGAAACUGGGUCUAAUACCGGAUAGGACCACUGCCUGCAUGGGUGGUGGUGGAAAGCUUUUGCGGUGUUGGAUGGGCCCGCGGCCUAUCAGCUUGUUGGGGGGGUGAUGGCCUACCAAGGCGACGACGGGUAGCCGGCCUGAGAGGGUGACCGGCCACACUGGGACUGAGAUACGGCCCAGACUCAUACGGGAGGCAGCAGUGGGGAAUAUUGCACAAUGGGCGCAAGCCUGAUGCAGCGACGCCGCGUGAGGGAUGACGGCCUUCGGGUUGUAAACCUCUUUCAUCACCGACGAAGCGCAAGUGACGGUAGGUGCAGAAGAAGGACCGGCCAACUACGUGCCAGCAGCCGCUGUAA